This 497-nucleotide ribosomal RNA is filed under the name uncultured bacterium. Its description in RNAcentral is "partial 16S ribosomal RNA". It matches the Rfam family "Bacterial small subunit ribosomal RNA", at positions 28 to 507 of the family's 1533-position model. The record is from RNAcentral.
GAUGAACGCUGGCGGCGUGCCUAAUACAUGCAAGUCGAGCGAACAGACGAGGAGCUUGCUCCUCUGGCGUUAGCGGCGGACGGGUGAGUAGCACGUGGAUAACCUACCUAUAAGACUGGGAUAACUUCGGGAAACCGGAGCUAAUACCGGAUAAUAUAUUGAACCGCAUGGUUCAAUAGUGAAAGACGGUUUUGCUGUCACUUAUAGAUGGAUCCGCGCCGCAUUAGCUAGUUGGUAAGGUAACGGCUUACCAAGGCAACGAUGCGUAGCCGACCUGAGAGGGUGAUCGGCCACACUGGAACUGAGACACGGUCCAGACUCCUACGGGAGGCAGCAGUAGGGAAUCUUCCGCAAUGGGCGAAAGCCUGACGGAGCAACGCCGCGUGAGUGAUGAAGGUCUUCGGAUCGUAAAACUCUGUUAUUAGGGAAGAACAAAUGUGUAAGUAACUAUGCACGUCUUGACGGUACCUAAUCAGAAAGCCACGGCUAACUACGUG